Molecule: transfer RNA, 77 nt
Filed under: Candidatus Jacksonbacteria bacterium RIFOXYA2_FULL_43_12
Lineage: Bacteria; Candidatus Jacksoniibacteriota
Also listed under: 4 other names
Description: tRNA-Lys
Rfam family: tRNA
About the family: Transfer RNA (tRNA) molecules are approximately 80 nucleotides in length.
Source: RNAcentral
GCACCCAUAGCUCAAUUGGUUAGAGCAGUUGCCUCUUAAGCAAACGGUUGCAGGUUCGAUUCCUGCUGGGUGCACCA